RNAcentral lists this ribosomal RNA (252 nucleotides) under Romboutsia timonensis. RNAcentral's name for it is "partial 16S ribosomal RNA". It matches the Rfam family "Bacterial small subunit ribosomal RNA", at positions 524 to 776 of the family's 1533-position model. The record is from RNAcentral. Lineage: Bacteria; Bacillati; Bacillota; Clostridia; Peptostreptococcales; Peptostreptococcaceae.
UACGUAUGGUGCAAGCGUUAUCCGGAUUUACUGGGCGUAAAGGGUGCGUAGGUGGUUUCUUAAGUCAGAGGUGAAAGGCUACGGCUCAACCGUAGUAAGCCUUUGAAACUGGGAAACUUGAGUGCAGGAGAGGAGAGUGGAAUUCCUAGUGUAGCGGUGAAAUGCGUAGAGAUUAGGAAGAACACCAGUGGCGAAGGCGAUUCUCUGGACUGUAACUGACGCUGAGGCUCGAAAGCGUGGGGAGCAAACAGG